Molecule: long non-coding RNA, 793 nt
Organism: Musa acuminata subsp. malaccensis (wild Malaysian banana)
Lineage: Eukaryota; Viridiplantae; Streptophyta; Magnoliopsida; Zingiberales; Musaceae
Source: RefSeq, a predicted model, not a curated record
CCCGUCGCCUUCCUCUUCCUCUCUACCGGCGCUCACUUACCCUCUUCCACAACUCUUCUUUCUCUUCACCUUCUUUUGUGCUCCCUUCCACAGGCAUCACCGUGCUCAUGGUUGACAAUGCUGGUAUUGCUCCUGCUCCUAUGAGGCAUCCCGUUUCCAAGCAGGGUUUGGAUAGUCGCAACAAACAGGAAAUCCAGGCUUCUAAGGAAUAUUGUGUGAGGUUCAUCCGAAGGUUAGGAAAAAAUUGGACAGGGGAUGCGUAGCCUGCAAUUCGAGCGUUGGGGCAGUGUUCUUGUUGCUUGAAACAGUUGUGAAAACUGACCGUUAGCUGGCACUGCAGAUGAGGAAAGAACAGAAGAAAUGAGUGUAUGUUGUACUGUGCAGAGAAGAGCAAUUAUUUAUCCAACUGUUGCUGCCUUAAUGAUAUGGUUGAACUGUCGGAAAGAGAUUGGAUCCUCCUUUCUGAGGAAGGACAAAUGAUGCAUGGUGAAUACAAGAAUGCCUGUGUCUCCACAAUCCUCAUCAUCCCUUGUGCAUCACCAAAGAGGACACGGACACACAUGUUAGAGACACAGAUCUAAAGCUGCAUGAUUGGGGAUGUGGUAAAUGACAUGGUCAUUCUGCGUGCAUUACUGCAGGGUCAUACUACUUUUAUACUGUGCAGGAACGGCAGGGGGAGGAGGGCAAAACGUGGCUCCAAUUGUGAGACCCCCCAGUCCCACAGCAGAAGGCCUAGGAAUAAUGGGCAUGGAGUAGGUCGAGAGUGUACUUGAUUGUCUCCAUGCUCCCUUUC